UACGUAGGGUGCGAGCGUUGUCCGGAAUUACUGGGCGUAAAGGGCGCGUAGGCGGAUACUUAAGUCGGGGGUGAAAGCCCGGGGCUCAACCUCGGAAUUGCCUUCGAUACUGGGUAUCUUGAGUUCGGGAGAGGUGAGUGGAAUGCCGAGUGUAGAGGUGAAAUUCGUAGAUAUUCGGCGGAACACCGGUGGCGAAGGCGGUCUGCUGGGCCAAGACUGACGCUGAGGCGCGACAGCGUGGGGAGCAAACAGG
RNAcentral lists this ribosomal RNA (253 nucleotides) under uncultured bacterium. RNAcentral describes it as "partial 16S ribosomal RNA". It matches the Rfam family "Bacterial small subunit ribosomal RNA", at positions 524 to 776 of the family's 1533-position model. The record is from RNAcentral.